Chlorocebus sabaeus (green monkey) is the source of this 13507-nucleotide non-coding RNA. Lineage: Eukaryota; Metazoa; Chordata; Mammalia; Primates; Cercopithecidae. The record is from RefSeq and is a predicted model, not a curated record.
CCGACUCCUAAGGUGAUCUGCCCAACUCGGCCUCCCAAAGUGCUGGGAUUACAGGUGUGAGCCACCACACCUGGCCAAGAAGCUACAUUUUUAUCUGAACUACGAUCUUGAUAUGGGAAACGCUAGACCACAUUUAAGGGAAGCACCAGCCAAGAGCAGGGACUUUCAAACACUUUUAACCACAACCUAGAGUUAAGAAAACAUUUUGUAUUGUGACCCGCCAUUCAUAUACCUAUGCCCACAAAAAUGUGAACUUUCUGAUAUUUUCCAACUCUGUUCCAUUCCAUCGUACUUUUUAAAACUAAUGGUCAAGUUUCAUAAAUUGAUUUUAUUCCCCACUAGUGGGUCACAAUUUGCAGUUUAUAAAAUACUGACUUAGAAAGGUUAUAUUUGUACCACAUGCCUUCUUUUUUCCUGAUUUAAGAGUCUGCACAUUAGCGAGACAGAAAGUCAGCUGUCAUUCCUGUAUACCUCAGUUAGCUCACCUGAUUAUUCCCGGCAAGGCUGGAUUUACUCCUUAUCUUCUCUUCCCGGAAAGAAAAGGAUGAAGUUUUUUCCCUUGAAAGGGUUUUUGAAAGUGUCAUUUAGUGAUUUCCAUUAGUCCCACCACUCCAUUGAUAAGGGUUAUGGCAGCUCUGUGUCCCAUUAGUGAGCUCUUUCCCCUUCAGCUCUGUGGGACAGGCUGCAGGGCCCACAUCUGCAUGAGCAUCUCUUACCUGGCACAGCACAAAAUUUAUUUAGCAUUUGGCCUAGGGUUUGUCCCACUGUUCUAGAGUUUGCUACCAUUACUGUUGUAGGUAUGAAUCAUUUUUCAAGUGUAAGCUUGUGACUUCUUUUUUCCUGCUGAAAUUAUUGAUCAAGGGGAUUUCUGAAUGAUUUUGUGUUGGAUUUAGCUAAAAAGAGUUUUAUUUUCCUCCUGCUGCUGAAAUAAUCUCACAUACCGUCAUCUUAGCAAGUCCUUUAGAUUUCAUUUGGGAAUUAAGAUAUGAAAGCUCUUUCCAGGGUUAUUUUUAUGGGAUGAGUAUGUAAGCUGAAAAUAGGAAAUAUAGUUUGGUUAUGGGGAGCUACAUUUGGAAUGAUCAAGCACAAAUUCCUAAUUUAUUUUAUGUUAGCAAGAGAAGGCCGUCUUUGUUUUUCUUCCUUUCCUCUCCUUUUAUUAUUUUCUUUUUUUUCCAUUUAUUCAGCUACCUAUAUGAUACAUAUUUAUCGGAGCCUACAGUGUACCAGGCACUGGUGUAAAAAUGCAAUGCCAACAUGUCCUAAUACUCAGGAGACUACAAUCUAAUGGUGAGGGAGACUCUAGUUAAUCAAUAAUUAUAAUGUUUUAAUGAAAGAGAUAUCUGAGUCAGGGCAGUCAGGUAAAGCUGUUUCAAGGGAGUGACACUGAGCUAAAUUUCAAAGGAUGAGCACAAGUGUGAAGAAGCCAAAGAGGGAGGAACUGCACUCAUUUCAAGACUGAAAAGUACUUUAAAUUUGGAAUGUUGAAGGUACCUUGGUAAUGUACAUUUUUGCAUUUCUUUUAUGCUCUCCUGUCUUCUAAGUGUUUUAACUUCCAUCAAUGAAAUUUCUUCGUUCCAAAUUAUAUCACCAAAAAUGACAUUUGGAACAAACAUCAAAUUUAAACAGAUUUCAUUGCUUCUUGUCCACGCUUUUCUUGGAAACCACAGAGAGAAUGACCUUUGGGUGAUCCACUAGUUGUUUCUAAAUGGGAAGCUCCCUGCUUUUCCCCAAGGCACCAGCAGCUCUUUCACACAUUGCCACUAGCAAUGAACAGUCUCAGAAGUUCUCGAAAGAUGGUUUUGUCACUUGUCUUACCUCUCUUCCUGUUGACUUGAAGCCUGACAAACAGUGAUAAGUAAGAGUGACAAAUGGCCAUUACUUACUCUCCUAGAGAUCUCCCAUAAGGAAAAAGCCUGAAUGUGGAGCUGGACAUGCCUCCAUUACACUCCCAACUUGAAGAAAACAGAACCCAAUACAACUAAAAUUGUCUAAUUAAAUUAUUUGCAAGUAAGUAAGUUAGUAAAGGAAGGCACUCAUGCCCAAAAGAAUGUGAAAACAAGAACAUAGAGUUAGAGUUUACCUCAUCAACUUAUCUUAAUGUGUUUCUAGUAUCUUUAUGCAGGCAUUUUUGUUUCAGUAAUAAUUUAUGCUAAUAGUAUCUAAUAUGUAAACAACUUAGUUUAUUCUAACAGUGCUUCUAAUUGUUCUAUAUUGUGGAAUUAUUAUAAGGCAGACUCAUUGCAUAUCUUAUCCAAGGACAGUUAUUAUUGGAAGUGCAAGAAAACCUAAUUAAAACAUUUUAAUACUUCAACACAGUCAUCCAUUACCAAUCUGUGACACUGCGUGGAUUAGAUGUAUAUUGUAUGCUUUACACAGUAGUGUCCCCUUAUCCACUGGGAACACAUUCCAAGACCCCCAGUGGAUGCCUGAAACCUCAGAUAGUACCAAACCCUAUAUAUAAUAUGUUUUUUUCCUAUAUAUGCAUACCUAUGAUAAUGUUUAUUAAUUAGGCACCAUAAUAGAGUAACAGCAAUAACUAGAACAAUUAUUACAAAAUGCCAGCAUCACUACUCUUGCAUGUUUGUGCCAUUAUUAAGUAAAAUAAAGGUAACUCGAACACAAACAUGUAAGCACUACCAUACCACAACAAUGGAUCUGAUAACUGAUGUGGCUAUUAAGUGACUAAUGGACAGGCAGUGUAUACAAUGUAAAUACAGUGGAAAAAAGGAUGAUUCACAGGAUGGAGCAAGAUGGCACAAGAUUUCAUCAGGCUGCUCAGAAUAAGAUGCAAUUUAAAACUUAUGAAUUGUUUAUUUUUGGAAUUUUCCAUUUAAUAUUUUCAGGCCAAGGUUGACCAUGGGUAACUGAGCAGAAAAUGAAACUGAAGAUAAGAGGGGACUACUGUACUGUUGCACCUCAGUGUUAACCAUUAAUUCUCUUUUGGCUCCAAGAUUCAGAAAUCUAGGCCAGGAUAGUUAAGAUCUGAGUUAUUGUCUGGUGAUUCAGCCAAAAAUCAUCAAAGAAGUUUCCUCCCCAAAUUCCUUGCCUUGCUUCAUUAUCUGUCCUCUGUGUUAUUCUUAACACUAUUAAAAUAUAAUAGAGACCAGGAAAAAAUUUAUCUCUCUCUUGCUAACCAUGUCUCAUAUAUUUGUCUGAGUGUAUAAGCAUUAUAAUUAUAGACACUUCCAAAGAACAUAGAGAUAAAAGGAGACAUCUAAAUCAAUGUCCAGAAUGCCAGAACUAUUAUUACUUAAUAUGAGACAGAGAAGCAGGUUAUAGUUUUGAAUAUUUGUCUUAGGAUUAGGAAAAUGUAAAAGAAACCUCUUGCGUUUGGCGUAUAAGAAGAGACAGCAGCAAAUUGUUCUGUGAAAGAGACAUAAAUGAGAGUAUAGGGAAAGGCUGAUAGCAGGACCUGGAAUCAUACUACACUGGGUUCAAGUCCCUGCUCCACCUUUUUCUAGUGUGUCUGUAUCACCUUGGGUGAGCUACUUAACGCUCUAUGUCUUAGUUUCCUCAUCUUUAAAUGACAUGGAUCCACCAUUGUGUAUCAUACAGAAUACCUGCACUGUCCUAAAAAUCCUCUGAGUUCUGCCUGUAGAUUCCUUCUCCCAACCACUGACAACCACUUAUCAUUUGACUAUUUUGACUGUUUUUACUUUAGAUUUAAGAUGAUGUAUUCAUCAUUUGUUUGGAUUUUUAAAAGGUUUUGACUUGUUUCUUUUUGCUUCAGGAAAAAUCAGCAUAAUAACAGUCUUAGUUUAUUUUGAUUUGUUGUAGCAGAAUACCUGAUACUGGGUAAUUUAUAAAGAAAAAAGAUUUCUUUAGUUCACAGUUCUGCAGGCAGAGAAGUUCAAGAGCAUGGCCCUGACAUCUGGUGAGGGCUUUCCAGAUGCAUCGCAACAUGGUGAAGGUCACAGGGGAAACCGACACAUUUGAAGAGACAAAACCCAAGGAGCAUCCUGACUUUCUAACAGCCCAGUCUUACAGGAACUAAUCCAGUCCCAUGAGACCUAAUCCAGUCUUGCCAGAACAAGAACUCACUGCUGCAAGAUUGGCACCAAGCCAUUUAUGAGAGAUCCACCCCCAAGACUAAAACAACCUCCCCCUAUGCCCUACCUCCCGACACUGCCACUUUGGGGAUCAAAUUUCAACAUGAGUUUUGAUGGGAACAAACACAAUAUAUCUAAAUCACAGCAAUAACAAUAGUAACAGCACACCUAACAUUUACUGAGUGAUUGCAAUAUGCCAGGGACUGUCCUGAGAACUUUACAUGUAUUGACACAUUUCAUUGUCAGAACAAUUAUGCAAUUAGACACUAAAGUUAGCUCCAUAUUAUAGAUGAAGAUAUAGAGAGAAAUUUGAUGACUUAGUCAAGUUCACACAACAAGCAAGUGCUAAAGCCAAGUUUUGAACCCAGGCAGUCUGUCUUCAACCAUCAUUAUCUGAUGAAAUCAAAGCUUUUAAGCUUCAUAAAUCAUAUAUGAAUUAUUUACAUAGUAUAGAGCUAGCAUUCCAGUUCAGUGAAUGAUUAUUCAAGUAUUACUUUAAAAACAAUUUUCCCUUGAGGAAGUAUAAUCACAAAUAAAAUGUUCCUGAGAAUUCAGAAAAAAAAAAAAGUAUGUUCUUUGGUUCUUGUGUCAGUCAUGGAGACAGAAGCCCCACUAUGUAUUUUAAACAGAAGUUACUUAAUACAGCAAAUUGGUUACAAAAUGUUGGAAAGGCUGGAGAUGCAAAAAAGAAGGUGAUGCAGUUACCAGGGAUUGAUGGCAAUAUGAAGUCACUACCACAUAAGCUUGAGAGUAAAGGGAAGAAUGCUGUUAGUCAGAGCCCACACUCACUGUAACUAGGGCUACUGGAGUAUCCACCCAUGCUGCGGGGCAUUUGGGACCACAGCAGCUACUACCUUGCAGAAAGCUAGGAGUCAAGAAACUCACAGUUACCUGUGCCCACCACAGCUGUUUUUGGAACCAGAUCCAAGGCUGCCAGAGUUUGCACUGCUUCCGUCAUCUCUGAAACCAUGCUUCUAGAGCAAGAAGCCUGGACCUCACACAUACCUACUGCUGUUGUUACUGCCUAGAACAAGGUCAGAAACAGAGAAGGAAAAUAAAAGUGGCUCAUCCCUUUGUGCCACCUUACAUCUCCUGCCAUUGCCUCCCAUUGACAAGACUACUCUGCAGACACCUGACAAGGGAAUCUGAGCAAUAGACGUGGCAGAACUCCAGCCCCUAGUAAUGCAGAGAACAUCGGAGCCAACAGGCAACUUUCUGUUAUAGCACUUUGUUUGUUUUAGAAACAACAGAAACCAUUUAAAAAUAAACAUAUAUUGAUGAACUUAUUACUCAAGAGAACAGCCAGGGUUAUUAGUUGCCAACACUGGGUCCCACCAUAUUUAAGCAGGAAAGUCAGUCAUUAAAGGAUAUGCUGGAUAAUCCACAGAGAUCACAGAGUCUGGGGAGUCGGGCAAUGAGGGUACCCAGCCAGAUAAAAUGCCUGGACUGUACCCCAGGGCUGCUUCAGCAAAAGCACUAUUGCCACCUCUGGGCACAGACGCCAUGCUGUGUAUGGCUAACACUGGGCAUUAACCACCAGAAUCUCCACUGUCCAUUCUCAUCAAAAAAUGGAUUCUACACAAUGCCUGCAUCUUCACUUUGCUCUCUUUAGAAUCAAAGUCUUGCACUAUGUGUUUAUCACAUGCCUAUCUGCAAGAGCGGUGAGAGAAAACAAGUUUCUGGCAUCUACCUUGGGAACAUGGUCCUCGUAGUGUCAUUCAAUCCUGGGGAUAAACCAAUGUUUGCAAAUUACCUGACAUAAUGACCAUGUAGCCGUUAACUUUUGUUUGAUAUACAUGCUACACGCCAGCUACAAUUAUAAUCAUUUUACAGAUAUUCAUAGUGCUCUAUGAGGUAGCUACUGUUAUCAUUUCUGUUUUGCAAAUGAGGAAGCAGAACACAAAGGGAUCUUUUUAAUGAGCUCAUGGUCCCAUAGCUACAAACUGCCAGACCCAGGAUCUGAACUUAGGUUUCCUGGCUUCUAAGUUAGCUCUUAGCCACUCACCUGUACUGUACACGAUAAAUGUUCAGUAAACAGUAGCUACUUCUGUUCAUCUUUUUUUUUUCCUGGCACUUGUGACAUAAAGAGGGGAGAAGUCAGAGGAUGGUGGAGAGGUCCUCAGAGGCCAGGUCAUUAAGGAGCUUGGAAUCAUAUUGAGGAGUAAGGAUUUUAUUCUAAGGGUGAUCAGUUCCCCAUCCAACAGCAUAUUCACACCCCCUGAGCUGGAGCAUUGGCAGUAGAAGUCAGAUCUGUGACUAAGUGACAGUUAAGAGUGCAAAGAGGGAGAGGAGAAGGGGAACAAAUGUAGAAUUCUUCUUGUUGUUGCUAUUGUUUGGUUCUAAAACAUUUUUUUUAACAUGAGUAGAAAGAAGAGUCCAGGAAGCAGGCUCAAAAAGACUGGUCAGAGAGCUAAGAGGAGAAACAAAGGAUAUUAUUAUUCUAGAUUCCAGGAGCUAUCAUUUGAAGAGGGUGAGAGUGGUCAGGAGUCUCAGCUACUGCAGGGAGGUCAAGGAAGAGAAUGAGAAACUGAUCUUUAAAUUGAGAAACGUGGAGAUUAUUGAAAUUAUCUUAACAAUAGUAAUUUCAAUAGGAUAGUUAAAGUAGAUGCAAAUUGCAAAAGACUGAGGGAUUAACAGCAGAAUGUGGAGAUAGAAAGCACAAACAACUUUUACAGGAUGGGCGAUUGAGAGGGGAAAGAGUAAGAACAUAUCAAGGGUAGCUUCUUUUUUAUGGGAGAAACUUGAAAAUGAAGGAAGCUGGUGGGAGGAUCCAGUUGAGAGAAAAUUGAUGAUGUAGACAAGAGAAGAGAUAAUGACAACAGAGAGACCUUGAGUAACUGGGAGAAGAAUAGAUGGAGGGACCAGUCUUAGGUAGUAGUUUCUUUCUGCAGGACAUGAGGAAAAAAUGGCGCAGUUAUAGACACGUCUGUCUCUGUGGGGAAAGGAGUGUGAGAAAGUCCUCUCCAGAAAGACACCAUUUUUUUCCCCAUGAAAUAUGAGAAAUAUCAUCUGCUGAGGCAGAAGAGUUUCAGGAUGGGGUAUGGUGUCUAGGGAGAGUGAUGGAGGUUAGGAACAGCCACUGAAGGGAAUGGGAAAGACAGCUAACCAAAGGGUGGCUCAGUGGCCCAGGGAGCUCAGCUGAGGUGAGAGACAGUAUAUUUUCAGCAUGAUUUUCUGUAUUAGUUUGCAAGAGUCUGGCCAUAGGAUCAUAGAGACUGGGCAUAGGAGCAUAGAUCUGAGAAGGGUCCUCCAUUAGCAGGGCGGGAGCAGAGGCAUUGAUUCUGAGAAGAGAUGUGCUGAAAUAAUGUGCCAUCAAGCCUAGGCUGUAUCAGAAGAAACUUGGAGAGAGAGGUGGCCCAGGCUGGUGUAGGGGAAUGGAGGAUGACCUGUGAUCACGGCACAUUGGCAACUUUCAUGAAUUCAAAGAUAAAAUAUGUCAGGAGCAAUGGAGUGAGAUUUUUGGAAGGAUAAGGACUAUGAUCAUAGCAGGAUAUUGAAGCUGUUUCAGGUGAUGAUUCCUUAGGGUAGGAACCUGGGAGUGGAUCAAGGCAAAGGCUGCUGGAGAAAAACUCAGAGUUGAGAGAUUUCAAGAAUAUUUAGAGCUGUAACUUAAGAAACAAAAAUUACUUUUUAAGUGAAAUGUUUUACUUACCUAGAGUCAGGAGGGUUUUUUUCCUUCCCACAACUCAGCUGAAAUGAUGAUGCGAUUACUUUAGUGAAUAUCUCAAUUAUCAACUUAGACCUGUUAGGUGUUCUUUAAUAGCAAUGUUGCUAUGCAGAAAUGUUCUUGAUUGUCCUACAUAAGGCAGGCUAACUCAUAAAACAAAUAAACCCAAAAAUGUAUCACGGCCUAACCGUGAGAGAAGAAAUGGUAUAGACUAUGCUUCAGCCUAAGAACCAGGCAGAUAUUUGAUUGAAUCUAUAAAAAAAUUUUUUUAAACAGGAUGGGAUUAAAUAAGAUAUGGAUAUAUUAUACUUGGCUGCUUUCCCUUUGCUUUUUUUUUUUUUUUUUUUUUAGUUUUGGUUACCAGCAAAGCGUCGCCAAAAGAUAUCCAUACUUAGAAAUGCAUGUAGGAUCACUCAAUGAUGUGCUAAACACUCGUCAAAAGCAGAGAUAAAGGAUUUUGGCCAAGGACAGAUAACAGAGGAUGGAUGGCCUAAAGAGAGGAGAGAAAAGAAGAGGACACUACUGUCUGCCUGAAACAGGAGUGGCUGCUGACCCCAAGAUCAACAGCACCAAAGUGGAACACAUUGUCUUCCUCUCGGAACAAACGCCUCUGCCUUCCAACUUCUUUAUUUCUGUCACUGCCCCCACCCCACCCCCCAGCCCAGUCUUCUAGUUUGCUGGAUGUAGACACUGGAAGUUACUGUGUGUUUCUCACACUCUCCUAAGUCCUGCAGACAUCUCAUAAGUCAUCAGAAGCCUCUCGAUUAAUCCUUCAUCACAUCUCCAGCAGCCUGAAGAAUGCUUUGUCAGGCUCAUGACACUCUGCUGCUGGAGGAGCAGCAGUAGGAGGGGUUGUGGGGCCAUUCUUCCUUAGCCAUCCUACCUGGUGGGUGACUCUGGGUUUUCUUGCAGGUGGUUGGGAUUGCCCUAGGAGUGCUUCUGUGGAUUGGGUGAUGAGACUCUACUCUUCCAAGACUCUGCACCCCUCCAACCCUGGGAUAAGAUUCUAUUAAGUGCAGUGCAACUACAUGCCAUUUUUAAAAGGCAAAGCAGAAAUACAGGGCUCCGCUUUAUAGAUUAAAAGCUUACAGGAACUGUAUGGCAUUGAUUUUUUAAAACCACACACACAUAUGCACACACACAAAUGUGCACAUUUACACAUGCAAACUUUUUUGAAAAUUCUCAUGUGUGAGUGUAUUUAAUUCUGCCUUAUAGUGAAAUUACAACACCAAAGAGGCACCCUUUAAUUAGCAACAUUCUUAUACAGAGAUAUUAAUGGUUAUGCUAGCUAGGGUAGGCUAAUUGGUGAAACAUAUAAACCCCCAAAUAUAUAAUGAAACAAAAAAAGAGGGCAAUUUCUUGCUCGUAUAAGGUCUAAAAUGGGUUUUUCUCAUUGAUAGCUGGCUCUCUUUUCAGAAGGAAUUCAGAUCCUUUCAUCUGUGGCUCUUCAACAUGUAGCUUCAAAGGUCUGCUUCAAGCCAGUGAAAAGAAAACACAUAUGAAGAAUAGAUUGCACAUGCAAGACUUUUCCAGGCCUGGAAGUGGUACUUAUGACUUUCACUCACAUCCCAACAGCCAGAACUCAGUUAUAUGGGAAAUGUAAUCUAACUGUGUGUCCAUGAAGAACAGGACAUCUGGGAAGCAAUUACCAGUUUUUUCUACAGUGGUAUAGCAACUGGGUCAGUGUGGAGAAUUUACAGGGCAUCAAGGAAGAACCACUCUUCUGUACCCAACAUGGUGGUGGAGGUACACUAGAGACUCUUGGUAGAGGAAUCGGUGAGACCUACAAGUGAACAGGAAGCCAGUGCUUACAUUUAGGGGGAAAUAUUUGAAAUUCUAAUAAAGUUUUUUCAACUUCUAAAAUAUAAUGAAAGGAAUUUUCUUAAAUGAACACACUCUUCAAUAAUACAAAGUUGGCAAAUUGGCAGGUUGAGAUGUAGGCAGUAGCAAUGUGAACUAGUUGGAAGUAGGCAAGAAGCCCAGACUAGAAAAACAAAGCCCAGGCAAAAAUCCAAGAAUGCCAGGGCAAUACCAGCAUGAGAAAUCAGAUAAGUGAAUAGAAACCAGGAAGCCAUAGAAAUUUUGGAGCAGAGUAAAAUUAAAGUUACAGAACCCGGAUGUGAGACCUGGCCCUACUAUUUACAAAUGGACACAAGAGAACCCACUUAACUUUCUCUGAGUUUGUUUAUUCAUGUGUAGAUUUGGAGUAGUCAUAUCUACCUCAUAAUAACUGGAGAAUCAAAUGAGAUGAUGCAAUGAAAACUCAUGUACCCUGGCAAAAGGAGAAAAAGGGCUGAUUUUAAGUGUUUCUGUUUUUAUAAACUUAGGGUUAAGGAGGGCACAGUGCUAUUUAGGAAGAAGAAGAUUUGAAACCUCUUUUUUUGACAGAUAAAUCCCUGGUCCUGAACUGGCAGAAAAGGUUGAGAAGAACUACCUUGUGUAAACUCUAUCUUCAUGGGGAAAACUUGCAGAUUCAGUUUCCUUUAUAAAAGUCCAUUCUUCCUGGCUUCCUGCAUGCCUUUCUCCCUCACUCCUUUCUCUCUGCUUUUGCUUCCUCUUUUUUCUUCUCUCCUUUAUUUUUCCUCUGUUUUUUUCCUCCAUCUGGUUUCUUUGUUAGGUGAGCCUGGACAGUGAGGAGAGUGUAACCAAUUUCCUGUAUAAGGAUUCUAGACAGGAGCUUGCUAAGGUUGGGUUUUAAGGGUUCAAUCAAUAAUAGAAACAAAAAGGAUGUGCUGCUGGCAAAUGUGUUAUUUGAUGUAACUCUUUAGGGGAAAAGCUGGCAAUGUACACUCUUAAGUUGAUCGUUCUCUUUGACCUGCAAGAAUUUUUCAUGGUAUCCAGCAUAAGGAAAUAAUCAGAAAAAAUAGAAGCCUUAUGAAUAAAGAUGUUCAUCAUAGUUUUACUUAUAGCAAUAAAAAGUUUGAAACAGGCUAAAUGCUCAAAGGAAGACAAAUGGUAAAUUCAACUAUGUUAUAUUAACACAAUAAAAUAUGUAAUUAUGUUUUGAAACACCUUGGUAAAAUGGAGAGUAUCAUGAUAAAAUAGCAAAUGAAAUUAGCAGAUUGCAGAAUGAUCACAACCAGGCCAAAGGUGGAAAUGAAUCAUAAUGACAUCAGUUGCUGUUCAUGAGUGGAUAAAUAUACUUUUUUCUUCUUUCUACUUUUCCAUAUUUUCUAUAUUUUAUAAUGUACCUAUAUUAUUCUUAUAUUUGAAAACAUAAAGUGAGUUCUAGUUUCUGCAAAAGUUAUUGAUACUAAUUUUUCUCAUCUUAGCCGUGUGCUGGUGUAACUAAUAGCAAAACGAGUUCACUUUGUGCACCAUAAUGUAAAGUGGACUUUUUAGAAGUGAAUACAAAUGUCUAUAUAGAUAUAUCGGUACCAGAUACAUAUACAUGUAUGAGUUUUAGCAUUAGAAAUUCCACACUCAUAAGUCACAGUUUUGCUUUAUAGGAUUUAAUUGGCAAGAAGGAAACAAAUAUAAAUUGGUACAAAAUUUUCAGUCUGUCAUUAGAAUAGCAUAGAUUCCAUGGCCUGACUUAAAGCAUUUGCCUGUAUCACAAGGAUUCUGUUGGAAUCAGAGUUGGAGUGAACUUUUCUCUGAGAUGAUUUGAUGAUUCUUUUUAACUCUGUCCUCUAUAUCCAUGGAAGCUGUGCCUCCUUGUAAAAAUAUGGUGAUGGGGACUACAAGUAAUGAAAAUAUUUAGAUAAUCGCUUAUAAGCAUUGACAAACAAUAUCAAAGGCCGUUACCCCAUAGACCUUCCUGAGAGUGGCUGGGUCCAUUGCAGUACACAAUGGGAGAUGAAAGAACUUAAUGUAUGUAGCCAUAUUCAAAAGUCCAUCUAAUUUGAAAAAUGUUGAUUUAGAUCACUCGAAAGUUCCAAGGAAGACUUAAAUGCAUUGAGUAGUCACUGUGAGUUGAGAAGAAGUAAAUAGAUUAUCAGGCAAACAGGUCAUCAACAGCUAGUCCAGAAAUUCAAAAAGGACUCCUGACAAUGUUCUGGAAGAAUCAUGUGGUAUUAUACCACUAAAAGGAUAGGGAAAGAUGGCUGAAGUAGAGCAAAAUAUUGUUUUCUUUAUUAAACAAAAAAUUGUAUGAACCAUAAAAGGGAUAUGGAGAGUUCCAAUUUCAAUAUGUACAGCUUUAUUUGGAUUCAUUGAAAGGUGUAGUACCUCCUACAACCAGGUAAAAUUGCAUUCAAUAUUAAAAUUACAGUACAGUAAACCAUAAAAUUUACCCAUGAGACUGAAAAUGACAGAUCUAGAAUAAGUAAGGAAAAUAUACCACAGCUGACAGAGAAAAUAUAUGACUUGAAUGUGAAUUUCCUGCCUAUGCAAAAGAAGGUUUACUCUGAGUCCAGGAAGCAUCAUGGUCUAUUUAUGAUAAUAGAAAUUUGUAGGCAUCUGGCUUCAGGUGAACCUCUCUGAUAUUUGGCAUCAAUAUUAGUCCAGGCACAAAGCUGUAUUUUAUUUUCUUGCAGGGCUUUCAUGAUGAAAUGGAAAAUAUUGAUUUAUGAUCACCCCACCAUAGAUCAGUCCAAACACAUGGAUUUUGUGCUUUGUUUUAUUUAAAGGGCCCGAUCAGAGAUUGCUGUUUUGCUUUAUAUUCAAAGCUUCAGGUCUGCUGCAAAACCGAAACAGCUCCUGUUCACAUUCUAAUGGAGAGAACAGUUCAGACUUAACCUCAGCAGAAUGGAAGUAUUUUCACACCAACUGUUACUUCACUCAGAUCUCCUCAUGUGGUUCACAGAACUCUUUGGUGGGCCCAGUCACUCCAGGAUUUUAUUUCUUGCAGACAUGAGCUUAUUAUGUUCAGUCCCUGGAGGAUACGGUUUGGGUAAUUCUUGCUGGCAACACUCUCCUAAAGCCUGUCAUGAAUCUCAUUGCCCCAUCUGCAGAAUACACUUCCAGAGGAAAGCCACUAAAGUACUGCAGAUGACAAAUGGGACAUUCUCCUAAGCUAAGUAGAAAAACUACCCAUCACCUCCCUCCAUUGCUGAAUUAUACACAGCAGAAAUCAUGUACAAUGUCAAAUCGACCUUGAUAAAUUCUACUUGUUAACCCAGCAGAGCACCUCCAGCAAUGAAAAGGGAAGGUAAAGGAGAAAAAGUGACCUCAGAACUAACUUUUUUAUGUCUCUCAGAUAUGAACUCUUUUGCCUUCAGAUGUUCAAGUUAUUAAUUUCUUCCCAGCUUUAACUUGGUUUGGCUCCUAGUCCUAAAAUGAAAAGAUGACAUUUGAGGUUUUGUGCUGGUAGAUUAAAAAAAAAAAAAAUCCCUCUGCACACAAUAAGCACACACAUUUUUGAGCAAACUACAACCAGACUUAGAUGCCUAUGAAAUAGGAUAGGCUGAAUUGAGUCACAAAGUAAUGAGUUUUCAGUUGUCUAGCCAAGCUCAUGUUUGUCUCCUUAUUUGCUUACUCCCUGCCAAAACAGAAACAUCAGAGUAACAAAAAGAUAUCAGAAACUAGCACUGCUUUAAAAGGAGACACUAUCUUUAGUUUGCUCAUUUAUUCAACAUAUAUUUAUGGGAUGCCUGCCAUAUGCCAGACAUUGUUCCAGGCACUGAGGAUACAACAGUCAUCAAGAGACCUAAAAAAGUCCUGUUCUCCUACUAUAUGAAAUGUUUUAGGAUUCAUAAUAUGAAAAUAAUAGUAAUGAUGAUGAGAUGAGCGAUAUGAUACACAGUAGAAUAAAUAUGUCAUUUUUUUUUUUUUUUUUAAGACGGAGUCUUGCUCUGUCACCCAGGUGGCAGUGCAGUGGCAGGAUCUCGAAUCACUGCAAGCUCCACCC